This 101-nucleotide ribosomal RNA is filed under the name Staphylococcus aureus. Its description in RNAcentral is "partial 16S ribosomal RNA". It matches the Rfam family "Bacterial small subunit ribosomal RNA", at positions 1 to 96 of the family's 1533-position model. The record is from RNAcentral. Lineage: Bacteria; Bacillati; Bacillota; Bacilli; Caryophanales; Staphylococcaceae. RNAcentral also lists the same sequence under 1 other name.
UUUAUGGAGAGUUUGAUCCUGGCUCAGGAUGAACGCUGGCGGCGUGCCUAAUACAUGCAAGUCGAGCGAACGGACGAGAAGCUUGCUUCUCUGAUGUUAGC